GAUGAACGCUAGCGGCAGGCCUAAUACAUGCAAGUCGAACGGGAUUGGGGAGCUUGCUCCCCAUGAGAGUGGCGCACGGGUGCGUAACGCGUGAGCAACCUGCCCGUCCCAGGGGGAUAGCCCCUCGAAAGAGGGAUUAACACCGCAUGACGUUGAGACGUGGCAUCACGAUUCAACCAAAUAUUUAUAGGGGACGGAUGGGCUCGCGUGGCAUUAGUUAGUUGGUAGGGUAACGGCUUACCAAGACGAUGAUGCCUAGGGGCUCUGAGAGGAGAAUCCCCCACACUGGUACUGAGACACGGACCAGACUCCUACGGGAGGCAGCAGUAAGGAAUAUUGGUCAAUGGGCGAGAGCCUGAACCAGCCAUGCCGCGUGCAGGAGGACUGCCCUACGGGUUGUAAACUGCUUUUGUACGGGAACAAACGCACUUACGUGUAAGUGUUUGAGUGUACCGUAAGAAUAAGGAUCGGCUAACUCC
Molecule: ribosomal RNA, 479 nt
Filed under: uncultured Bacteroidota bacterium
Lineage: Bacteria; Pseudomonadati; Bacteroidota
Description: bacterial SSU rRNA
Rfam family: Bacterial small subunit ribosomal RNA
Source: RNAcentral